Molecule: unclassified non-coding RNA, 2032 nt
Filed under: Hevea brasiliensis (rubber tree)
Lineage: Eukaryota; Viridiplantae; Streptophyta; Magnoliopsida; Malpighiales; Euphorbiaceae
Source: RNAcentral
CCUGCCUUCGCUUUCUUCGAUUGCAAGCGUCCAAUUAGCCAUCUAGGACUCUUGGUUCCAAUUUUCUAAUUUUCUCUUCGGAGCUUCAAUUUUCAAUUUCGAAAUAGCUAGUGUACGUAUAUAAUAAAUAAAUAUCAGAAUUCAAUGAAUGAUUGAGAUCAGUCCGGUGUAUUGGCCCAUAAGGAGCGCCCCAUUGCCCAAGAAAAACAAAAAUAUCUCCAGGUGGGCGCAACCGAUAGGGCCAUUGGGCGGGCUUUUGCAAUCGCUGAAUGUAGAAGUCAGGAAAGAUUCCUUCCUUCUCUGCUUUAUUGGUCUUUCCAUUUUGUUACUUUUCAACUCUAUUUACCAUCUUCCAUUCUAAGGGCCCUCAGAGGCAACUCCUCUUCGUUUGGGAUUCUGCUGUUCAUUCUUCAAUCUUCACCGGAGAGCGAGCAAGGAAUUGAAGAGGGGCAAAUGGCAACUUCUCUUUGCUUCUUCACUCUUUUGCUAUUUCUUUCGACCAUCUCUUCCUUCUACCUCCAGGUUAUUGCUGAAGCACCAGAUUCUACACUGAAGCUUAAUUCUAGGAUCCUUCAGGAGUCGAUAAUUAAAAAAAUCAAUGAAAACCCCAAUGCUGGAUGGGAAGCUGCCAUGAAUCCUCAAUUUUCCAAUUACACUGUUGGUCAAUUCAAGUAUCUCCUUGGAGCCAAGCCAACUCCCAAAAAGGAGUUGAGGGGUUUUCCGGUUACAAGUCAUCCAAAAUCUUUGAAGUUGCCAAAAGAAUUUGAUGCAAGAAAAGCUUGGCCACAAUGUACCACCAUUGGAAGAAUUCUAGAUCAGGGUCAUUGUGGAUCUUGUUGGGCGUUUGGUGCUGUUGAAUCACUAUCUGAUCGCUUUUGUAUCCACUUUGGCAUGAACCUAUCGUUGUCUGUCAAUGAUCUCUUGGCAUGCUGUGGCUUUUUAUGUGGAGAUGGUUGUAAUGGAGGGUAUCCAAUCUAUGCAUGGAGAUACUUUGUCAACCAUGGCGUUGUCACCGAAGAGUGUGACCCAUACUUUGAUGAUAUUGGCUGCUCCCACCCUGGCUGUACGCCUGAAUUCCCUACUCCAAAGUGUGUAAGAAAAUGUGUUGAUAAGAACCAGCUCUGGAGCCAGUCAAAGCAUUACGGUGUCAAUGCAUAUAGAAUUAGCUCUGAUCCCCAAGAUAUUAUGGCUGAAGUUCUUACAAAUGGACCUGUAGAGGUUGCUUUCAUUGUUUAUGAGGAUUUUGCUCAUUAUAGAUCUGGAGUUUAUAAGCACAUUACUGGUAAUGUAAUGGGAGGCCAUGCAGUUAAGCUUAUUGGGUGGGGGACUUCUGAUGAUGGAGAGGAUUAUUGGCUUCUUGCAAACCAGUGGAAUAGAGGCUGGGGUGAUGAUGGUUACUUCAAGAUACUGAGAGGAACAAAUGAGUGUGGCAUUGAAGAAGACGUGAUUGCUGGUUUGCCUUCGGCCAGAAAUCUUGAUCUUGUUAGAGAGGUUACUGGCACGGAUGCUGUUGGGGAUGAGAUUGUUGUACCACAAGUGCUGUAAUUUAUGCACAAGACAUGAGUUGCAGAGAUGAAUUAUGGAUACGUAUCAGGCAUGGAUAGAAACCAGAUUUACAAAUCCAUGUUGUAAUAUUUGUUUGUGCCAACAAAACAUUUAUUGUCCAUUUAAGAAUGUCAGUCUGUAAGUAUUGUAUGGCUCGUUCUUCAAAUGUAUAAUAGGAUUCCCCCGCAUUUUCAUUUCACAUUCAUUUCCAAUCUUUUUCUGUUAUUAGGCAUUGGAUCUCUACUACAGGAGUGCUAAAGAUGUUAAAAUUUUUUCUAACAAGUGAGAGGAUGUGAGAAUCCUGGUCAUGAUAGGAAGUUUCCAUGGAAAUAGCUCUAAUUAUUUAUUUUGUCGAUAGCAGAAUCCUGCGUUCCUGUAGUGCCCAAUUAUGAUGUUGAAAGAUGGAGCCUUACCUUGUAAAAGUAGGUAAUGGAGAGUUUUGAUUGUUUGUGGCAAGCAAAUGGAUUACUGUUGAAACAGACAAAAG